GUCUUAAAGUUAUUAAUUUUAAGUCUAAUCUGCCCAAUGAAAAAUUUUAAUGGCUGCAGUAUAUUAACUGUACAAAGGUAGCAUAAUAAUUUGUUUUUUAAUUAAAAACUAGAAUGAAUGAUUGAAUGAGAUAAAUACUUUUUCAAUAAAAUUAAUUAAAUUUUUUAUUUGAGUAAAAAAACUUAAAUUUUAUAUAAAGACGAUAAGACCCUAUAGAAUUUUAUUUAUUUAAUAAAUAAAAUUUUUAUUAUAUAAAUUUAAUUGGGGUAAUUAAAAAAUUUAAUUAAUUUUUUUUUAAAAAUACAUUUAUAUAUGAAAUUUAAAUCUUAAUUUUUAAAUUAAAAAAAUUAAUUACCUUAGGGAUAACAGCAUAAUUUUUUUUGAAAGUUCUUAUUUAUAAAAAAGAUUAU
This 410-nucleotide ribosomal RNA is filed under the name Syntomernus sp. RNAcentral's name for it is "partial 16S ribosomal RNA". Lineage: Eukaryota; Metazoa; Arthropoda; Insecta; Hymenoptera; Braconidae. The record is from RNAcentral.